UGAGUAACGCGUGGGUAGCCUGCCCUAAAGCCCGGGAUAACACCGGGAAACUGGUGCUAACACCGGAUACCUUCCGAAGAGGGCAUCCUUUUUGGAAGAAAGGUUAACGCUUUAGGAUGGGCCCGCGUCCCAUUAGCUAGUUGGUGAGGUAACGGCUCACCAAGGCAGUGAUGGGUAGCCGGCCUGAGAGGGUGGACGGCCACACUGGGACUGAGACACGGCCCAGACUCCUACGGGAGGCAGCAGUAGGGAAUAUUGCGCAAUGGGCGAAAGCCUGACGCAGCGACGCCGCGUGGGUGAUGAAGGCCUUCGGGUUGUAAAACCCUGUCCUUGGGGAAGAAGGAAGUGACGGUACCCAAGGAGGAAGCCCCGGCUAACUACGUGCCAGCAGCCGCGGUAAAACGUAGGGGGCGAGCGUUGUCCGGAAUUACUGGGCGUAAAGGGUGCGUAGGCGGCCUUUUAAGUCAGAUGUGAA
This 475-nucleotide ribosomal RNA is filed under the name uncultured bacterium. RNAcentral describes it as "bacterial SSU rRNA". It matches the Rfam family "Bacterial small subunit ribosomal RNA", at positions 107 to 598 of the family's 1533-position model. The record is from RNAcentral.